This 259-nucleotide ribosomal RNA is filed under the name uncultured bacterium. Its description in RNAcentral is "partial 16S ribosomal RNA". It matches the Rfam family "Bacterial small subunit ribosomal RNA", at positions 94 to 353 of the family's 1533-position model. The record is from RNAcentral.
AGUGGCGAACGGGUGAGUAAUGCGUGACCGACCUGCCCCAUACACCGGAAUAGCUCCUGGAAACGGGUGGUAAUGCCGGAUGCUCCAGUUGAUCGCAUGGUCUUCUGGGAAAGCUUUCGCGGUAUGGGAUGGGGUCGCGUCCUAUCAGCUUGACGGCGGGGUAACGGCCCACCGUGGCUUCGACGGGUAGCCGGCCUGAGAGGGCGACCGGCCACAUUGGGACUGAGAUACGGCCCAGACUCCUACGGGAGGCAGCAUG